AUGAGAGUUUGAUCCUGGCUCAGGACGAACGCUGGCGGCGUGCCUAAUACAUGCAAGUCGAACUCUUCUUUUUCCACCGGAGCUUGCUCCACCGGAAAAAGAGGAGUGGCGAACGGGUGAGUAACACGUGGGUAACCUGCCCAUCAGAAGGGGAUAACACUUGGAAACAGGUGCUAAUACCGUAUAACAAUCAAAACCGCAUGGUUUUGAUUUGAAAGGCGCUUUCGGGUGUCGCUGAUGGAUGGACCCGCGGUGCAUUAG
This 261-nucleotide ribosomal RNA is filed under the name Enterococcus faecium. Its description in RNAcentral is "partial 16S ribosomal RNA". It matches the Rfam family "Bacterial small subunit ribosomal RNA", at positions 1 to 244 of the family's 1533-position model. The record is from RNAcentral. Lineage: Bacteria; Bacillati; Bacillota; Bacilli; Lactobacillales; Enterococcaceae.